RNAcentral lists this ribosomal RNA (334 nucleotides) under uncultured eukaryote. RNAcentral describes it as "partial 18S ribosomal RNA". It matches the Rfam family "Eukaryotic small subunit ribosomal RNA", at positions 1470 to 1797 of the family's 1831-position model. The record is from RNAcentral.
CCCUUAGAUGUUCGGGGCUGCACACGCGCUACACUGGAGGAAACAGCGUGUAUUGACCUGGUCCGAAAGGACUGGGUAAACCUGUGAAACUUCUCCGUGCUUGGGAUAGCGGAUUGCAAUUGUUUCGCUUCGACGAGGAAUUCCUAGUAAGCGUAAGUCAUAAGCUUGCGCUGAUUACGUCCCUGCCCUUUGUACACACCGCCCGUCGCUACGACCGACUGUUUCUGUCAAUGAAGCUGUAGGAUUCGGCCCUGGCCGGGGCGCAAGCCCUGGCUACGUGGUUGGAGAUCAUAGUUUAGUUGAUACGAAAUACAGGACGUAAAAGUCGUAACAA